Molecule: ribosomal RNA, 440 nt
Filed under: uncultured Diversispora
Lineage: Eukaryota; Fungi; Glomeromycota; Glomeromycetes; Diversisporales; Diversisporaceae
Description: SSU rRNA
Rfam family: Eukaryotic small subunit ribosomal RNA
Source: RNAcentral
UCAGGCUUAAUUGUCUGCACUGGUGAGAUGAAUCUCUACCUUCUGAGGAACUUUCAUGCCAUUUAUUUGGUGUGAUUGGAAAUCAGGACUGUUACUUUGAAAAAAUUAGAGUGUUUAAAGCAGGCUAACGUCUGAAUACAUUAGCAUGGAAUAAUGAAAUAGGACGGACUGAUUCUAUUUCGUUGGUUUCUAGGAUCACCGUAAUGAUUAACAGGGACAGUCGGGGGCAUUCGUAUUUCAUAGUCAGAGGUGAAAUUCUUGGAUUUAUGAAAGACGAACUAUUGCGAAAGCAUUUGCCAAGGAUGUUUUCAUUAAUCAAGAACGAAAGUUAGGGGAUCGAAGACGAUCAGAUACCGUCGUAGUCUUAACCAUAAACUAUGCCGACUAGGGAUCGGACGAAGUUAAUUUUAUAAUGACGCGUUCGGCGCCUUACGGGAAAC